CGGGUUUGAAAUGCAGGGAUUAACCUUCCGAAAGGAUGGGGAUAGGCUUCGGGUGUAACCUGCGC
RNAcentral lists this ribosomal RNA (65 nucleotides) under uncultured bacterium. Its description in RNAcentral is "partial 16S ribosomal RNA". The record is from RNAcentral.